CGACGAACUUCUUUAUCACCGAGUGCUUGCACUCACCGAUAAAGAGUUGAGUGGCGAACGGGUGAGUAACACGUGGGCAACCUGCCCAAAAGAGGGGGAUAACACUUGGAAACAGGUGCUAAUACCGCAUAACCAUAGUUACCGCAUGGUAACUAUGUAAAAGGUGGCUAUGCUACCGCUUUUGGAUGGGCCCGCGACGCAUUAGCUAGUUGGUGGGGUAAAGGCUUACCAAGGCAAUGAUGCGUAGCCGAACUGAGAGGUUGAUCGGCCACAUUGGGACCGAGACACGGCCCAAACUCCUACGGGAGGCAGCAGUAGGGAAUCUUCCACAAUGGGCGAAAGCCUGAUGGAGCAACGCCGCGUGGGUGAAGAAGGUCUUCGGAUCGUAAAACCCUGUUGUUAGAGAAGAAAGUGCGUGAGAGUAACUGUUCACGUUUCGACGGUAUCUAACCAGAAAGCCACGGCUAACUACGUGCCAGCAGCCGCGGUAAUACGUAGGUGGCAAGCGUUAUCCGGAUUUAUUGGGCGUAAAGAGAUCGCAGGCGGUCUUUUAAGUCUGAUGUGAAAGCCUUCGGCUUAACCGGAGUAGUGCAUUGGAAACUGGGAGACUUGAGUGCAGAAGAGGAGAGUGGAACUCCAUGUGUAGCGGUGAAAUGCGUAGAUAUAUGGAAGAACACCAGUGGCGAAAGCGGCUCUCUGGUCUGUAACUGACGCUG
Molecule: ribosomal RNA, 716 nt
Filed under: uncultured bacterium
Lineage: Bacteria
Description: bacterial SSU rRNA
Rfam family: Bacterial small subunit ribosomal RNA
Source: RNAcentral